This 497-nucleotide ribosomal RNA is filed under the name uncultured bacterium. RNAcentral describes it as "partial 16S ribosomal RNA". It matches the Rfam family "Bacterial small subunit ribosomal RNA", at positions 28 to 507 of the family's 1533-position model. The record is from RNAcentral.
GAUGAACGAUGGCGGCGUGCCUAAUACAUGCAAGUCGAGCGAACGGACGAGAAGCUUGCUUCUCUGAUGUUAGCGGCGGACGGGUGAGUAACACGUGGAUAACCUACCUAUAAGACUGGGAUAACUUCGGGAAACCGGAGCUAAUACCGGAUAAUAUUUUGAACCGCAUGGUUCAAAAGUGAAAGACGGUCUUGCUGUCACUUAUAGAUGGAUCCGCGCUGCAUUAGCUAGUUGGUAAGGUAACGGCUUACCAAGGCAACGAUGCAUAGCCGACCUGAGAGGGUGAUCGGCCACACUAGAACUGAGACACGGUCCAGACUCCUACGGGAGGCAGCAGUAGGGAAUCGUCCGCAAUGGGCGAAAGCCUGACGGAGCAACGCCGCGUGAGUGAUGAAGGUCUUCGGAGCGUAAAACUCUGUUAUUAGGGAAGAACAUAUGUGUAAGUAACUGUGCACAUCUUGACGGUACCUAAUCAGAAAGCCACGGCUAACUACGUG